GUUAUAUGGUCAAGUGAAGAAGCGCAUACGGUGGAUGCCUUGGCAGUCAGAGGCGAUGAAAGACGUGGUAGCCUGCGAAAAGCUUCGGGGAGUCGGCAAACAGACUGUGAUCCGGAGAUGUCUGAAUGGGGGAACCCAGCCAUCAUAAGAUGGUUAUCUUGUACUGAAUACAUAGGUGCAAGAGGCGAACCAGGGGAACUGAAACAUCUAAGUACCCUGAGGAAAAGAAAUCAACCGAGAUUCCCUUAGUAGUGGCGAGCGAACGGGGACCAGCCCUUAAGUUGUAUUGAGAUUAGCGGAACGUUCUGGAAAGGACGGCCAUAGUGGGUGAUAGCCCUGUACGCGAAAAUCCCUUUGCAAUGAAAUCGAGUAGGACGGGGCACGAGAAACCUUGUCUGAAUAUGGGGGGACCAUCCUCCAAGGCUAAAUACUACUGACUGACCGAUAGUGAACCAGUACCGUGAGGGAAAGGCGAAAAGAACCGCGGAGAGCGGAGUGAAAUAGAUCCUGAAACCGUAUGCGUACAAGCAGUGGGAGCCCACUUUGUUGGGUGACUGCGUACCUUUUGUAUAAUGGGUCAGCGACUUAUUUUCAGUGGCGAGCUUAACCGAAUAGGGGAGGCGUAGCGAAAGCGAGUCUUAAUAGGGCGUCUAGUCGCUGGGAAUAGACCCGAAACCGGGCGAUCUAUCCAUGGGCAGGUUGAAGGUUGGGUAACACUAACUGGAGGACCGAACCGACUACCGUUGAAAAGUUAGCGGAUGACCUGUGGAUCGGAGUGAAAGGCUAAUCAAGCUCGGAGAUAGCUGGUUCUCCUCGAAAGCUAUUUAGGUAGCGCCUCAUGUAUCACUGUAGGGGGUAGAGCACUGUUUCGGCUAGGGGGUCAUCCCGACUUACCAAACCGAUGCAAACUCCGAAUACCUACAAGUGCCGAGCAUGGGAGACACACGGCGGGUGCUAACGUCCGUCGUGAAAAGGGAAACAACCCAGACCGUCAGCUAAGGUCCCAAAGUCAUGGUUAAGUGGGAAACGAUGUGGGAAGGCUUAGACAGCUAGGAGGUUGGCUUAGAAGCAGCCACCCUUUAAAGAAAGCGUAAUAGCUCACUAGUCGAGUCGGCCUGCGCGGAAGAUGUAACGGGGCUCAAACCAUGCACCGAAGCUACGGGUAUCAUCUUAGGAUGAUGCGGUAGAGGAGCGUUCUGUAAGCCUGUGAAGGUGAGUUGAGAAGCUUGCUGGAGGUAUCAGAAGUGCGAAUGCUGACAUGAGUAACGACAAUGGGUGUGAAAAACACCCACGCCGAAAGACCAAGGUUUCCUGCGCAACGUUAAUCGACGCAGGGUUAGUCGGUCCCUAAGGCGAGGCUGAAAAGCGUAGUCGAUGGAAAACAGGUUAAUAUUCCUGUACUUCUGGUUAUUGCGAUGGAGGGACGGAGAAGGCUAGGCCAGCCUGGCGUUGGUUGUCCAGGUUUAAGGUGGUAGGCUGAGAUCUUAGGUAAAUCCGGGAUCUCAAGGCCGAGAGCUGAUGACGAGUGUUCUUUAGAACACGAAGUGGUUGAUGCCAUGCUUCCAAGAAAAGCUUCUAAGCUUCAGGUAACCAGGAACCGUACCCCAAACCGACACAGGUGGUUGGGUAGAGAAUACCAAGGCGCUUGAGAGAACUCGGGUGAAGGAACUAGGCAAAAUGGCACCGUAACUUCGGGAGAAGGUGCGCCGGUGAGGGUGAAGCAUUUACUGCGUAAGCCCACGCCGGUCGAAGAUACCAGGCCGCUGCGACUGUUUAUUAAAAACACAGCACUCUGCAAACACGAAAGUGGACGUAUAGGGUGUGACGCCUGCCCGGUGCCGGAAGGUUAAUUGAUGGGGUUAGCGCAAGCGAAGCUCUUGAUCGAAGCCCCGGUAAACGGCGGCCGUAACUAUAACGGUCCUAAGGUAGCGAAAUUCCUUGUCGGGUAAGUUCCGACCUGCACGAAUGGCGUAACGAUGGCGGCGCUGUCUCCACCCGAGACUCAGUGAAAUUGAAAUCGCUGUGAAGAUGCAGUGUAUCCGCGGCUAGACGGAAAGACCCCGUGAACCUUUACUAUAGCUUUGCACUGGACUUUGAAUUUGCUUGUGUAGGAUAGGUGGGAGGCUUUGAAACGUGGACGCCAGUCUGCGUGGAGCCAACCUUGAAAUACCACCCUGGCAACUUUGAGGUUCUAACUCAGGUCCGUUAUCCGGAUCGAGGACAGUGUAUGGUGGGUAGUUUGACUGGGGCGGUCUCCUCCUAAAGAGUAACGGAGGAGUACGAAGGUGCGCUCAGACCGGUCGGAAAUCGGUCGUAGAGUAUAAAGGCAAAAGCGCGCUUGACUGCGAGACAGACACGUCGAGCAGGUACGAAAGUAGGUCUUAGUGAUCCGGUGGUUCUGUAUGGAAGGGCCAUCGCUCAACGGAUAAAAGGUACUCCGGGGAUAACAGGCUGAUACCGCCCAAGAGUUCAUAUCGACGGCGGUGUUUGGCACCUCGAUGUCGGCUCAUCACAUCCUGGGGCUGAAGCCGGUCCCAAGGGUAUGGCUGUUCGCCAUUUAAAGUGGUACGCGAGCUGGGUUUAGAACGUCGUGAGACAGUUCGGUCCCUAUCUGCCGUGGACGUUUGAGAUUUGAGAGGGGCUGCUCCUAGUACGAGAGGACCGGAGUGGACGAACCUCUGGUGUUCCGGUUGUCACGCCAGUGGCAUUGCCGGGUAGCUAUGUUCGGAAAAGAUAACCGCUGAAAGCAUCUAAGCGGGAAACUUGCCUCAAGAUGAGAUCUCACUGGAACCUUGAGUUCCCUAAAGGGCCGUCGAAGACUACGACGUUGAUAGGUUGGGUGUGUAAGCGCUGUGAGGCGUUGAGCUAACCAAUACUAAUUGCCCGUGAGGCUUGACCAUAUAACACCCAAGCAAUU
RNAcentral lists this ribosomal RNA (2917 nucleotides) under Pseudomonas syringae pv. castaneae. RNAcentral describes it as "bacterial LSU rRNA". It matches the Rfam family "Bacterial large subunit ribosomal RNA". The record is from RNAcentral. Lineage: Bacteria; Pseudomonadati; Pseudomonadota; Gammaproteobacteria; Pseudomonadales; Pseudomonadaceae.